This 449-nucleotide ribosomal RNA is filed under the name uncultured bacterium. RNAcentral describes it as "partial 16S ribosomal RNA". It matches the Rfam family "Bacterial small subunit ribosomal RNA", at positions 29 to 523 of the family's 1533-position model. The record is from RNAcentral.
AACGAACGCUGGCGGCAGGCUCAACACAUGCAAGUCGAACGAGAUCUUCGGAUCUAGUGGCAGACGGGUGAGGAACACGUGGGAACAUCCCUUUCAGUUCGGAAUAACGUUGGGAAACUAACGCUAAUACCGGAUACGUCCUUCGGGAGAAAGAUUUAUCGCUGAAAGAUUGGCCCGCGUCUGAUUAGCUGGUUGGUGAGGUAACGGCUCACCAAGGCUACGAUCAGUAGCUGAUCUGAGAGGAUGAUCAGCCACAUUGGGACUGAGACACGGCCCAAACUCCUACGGGAGGCAGCAGUGGGGAAUAUUGGACAAUGGGCGCAAGCCUGUUCCAGCCAUGCCGCGUGAGUGAUGACGGCCUUCGGGUUGUAAAGCUCUUUUGUCCGGGAAGAUAAUGACUGUACCGGAAGAAUAAGCCCCGGCAAACUUCGUGCCAGCCGCCGCCGUAA